CCUGACAAGUGUCCAACAGUCAGUCCCCAAGCUCGCAUGCGUCGCUGGUAACGGCGGGGUGUGAAGCCGAGCCGGAAAGCCCAAGGGU
This is a non-coding RNA of Streptomyces bingchenggensis BCW-1, 88 nucleotides long. The record is from Rfam. NCBI's taxonomy places the organism in Bacteria, Bacillati, Actinomycetota, Actinomycetes, Kitasatosporales, Streptomycetaceae.